ACUUUUUGAAAACAAAGACAACACAAGGGUUAAGUAAGGUGAGUACAUCAUUACGCACAAGUUGUGUUCAAAUCUGAAUUGGCGCAGUGAUGACCACACCGUUUUGCAGAAAAAUAAUUAUGAUCAUGCUUAAUAAAUCAUAAUGAUGGGCCCACAUAC
Etheostoma spectabile (orangethroat darter) is the source of this 159-nucleotide long non-coding RNA. RefSeq lists it as uncharacterized. The record is from RefSeq and is a predicted model, not a curated record. Lineage: Eukaryota; Metazoa; Chordata; Actinopteri; Perciformes; Percidae. The transcript has 3 exons.